UUCAGUUUCGGCUUAAACUUUGGUGGCUUGGGAAUACAUGUUGUUUCAUUCUUGUACAAAUUUCUGGUAUUGUUUUGCUCUUUUUUCUCCUUUGUUUUGGGUUGAGAGGAGGUGUGGAAUGGGGCUAUUCUUUUGAGAUUUGGAAAGUGCUCUUUUAUCAGUGUUGUUAAUCUGACACUUUUUAUCAUACACGAUAAUCUUUUUUUAAUUACUGGAACAGGGAAGCUGAGUCUUUCUAAAUACAAUUUCUCAGAGAUGUCAAUCAAUUCUUUUAGACGUGUGCUUCAAUGAUAGUAUGUAACUUUAUGCCCCAGUAAACUCUCUCUCUCUCACACACACCGCGCAAGUGCAUUAGCUUUCUUAUUCUAUUUUAGUGAUUAUUGGACUGAUUCAGACUCGAUUUUCCUAUUUAUAGGCGCCAUGAGUUCACUUAUACUUCACAAGUUGCCUCUUAAAACAGUGGGAUAGUCUAUGUUGGCCUUAGAAUCAUGGCAAAGUUAUCAUUAUUUGGGAUAAAUUUUAAAUACCUACUACACUAAUAGAGUCUCGUGGCCUAUCUUCUUUACGUACCUUAACCAAUCCAUUCAUCGUGCACCAUGGUAGUAUUUUCCAUUGGAGCACCUCCAUUAUGAAUACCAUUCUGUUUGACUUAAACUUUGUUUAUGCUUAUAUUAUUCCCCUUCUUUUUAUUUUGGGGN
This 698-nucleotide long non-coding RNA is filed under the name Nicotiana benthamiana. RNAcentral's name for it is "long non-coding RNA (NBEN_LNC022260)". The record is from RNAcentral. Lineage: Eukaryota; Viridiplantae; Streptophyta; Magnoliopsida; Solanales; Solanaceae.